RNAcentral lists this ribosomal RNA (496 nucleotides) under uncultured bacterium. RNAcentral's name for it is "partial 16S ribosomal RNA". It matches the Rfam family "Bacterial small subunit ribosomal RNA", at positions 29 to 507 of the family's 1533-position model. The record is from RNAcentral.
AUGAACGCUGGCGGCGUGCCUAAUACAUGCAAGUCGAGCGAACAGACGAGGAGCUUGCUCCUCUGACGUUAGCGGCGGACGGGUGAGUAACACGUGGAUAACCUACCUAUAAGACUGGGAUAACUUCGGGAAACCGGAGCUAAUACCGGAUAAUAUAUUGAACCGCAUGGUUCAAUAGUGAAAGACGGUUUUGCUGUCACUUAUAGAUGGAUCCGCGCCGCAUUAGCUAGUUGGUAAGGUAACGGCUUACCAAGGCAACGAUGCGUAGCCGACCUGAGAGGGUGAUCGGCCACACUGGAACUGAGACACGGUCCAGACUCCUACGGGAGGCAGCAGUAGGGAAUCUUCCGCAAAGGGCGAAAGCUUGACGGAGCAACGCCGCGUGAGUGAUGAAGGUCUUCGGAUCAUAAAACUCUGUUAUUAGGGAAGAACAAAUGUGUAAGUAACUAUGCACGUCUUGACGGUACCUAAUCAGAAAGCCACGGCUAACUACGUG